Arabidopsis thaliana (thale cress) is the source of this 1957-nucleotide long non-coding RNA. RefSeq annotates it as other RNA. The transcript has a single exon. The record is from RefSeq. NCBI's taxonomy places the organism in Eukaryota, Viridiplantae, Streptophyta, Magnoliopsida, Brassicales, Brassicaceae.
UUUAUGAGGCAAAGAUUCAUUUUAUUCAUCUUUAUCUUAAAGAUAAUUACCAGUUACAUCCAAUAAGUUAUUUUUUCUUUUUUAACCUCUACUCAUCUUAUUAGAGUAAAAGCUUUGACAUAAUGGGCCUAGGCCUACACAUGGCCCGUAAAGGAUCCAUCUUACGCAUACCCAACCCAGUACUCUCAGACAUAUCCAUCUCUUCCCCUUUCACAUUCUCCCAUUCAAAGCAUUGAAUCAACGAUCCAAGCGCCAAUGUCACAAUCCUCUGACCUAAUCCGGCGCCGGGACAAGUUCUCCGGCCAUUCCCAAACGGCAUCAGCUUGUAAACAUAGUAAUCGCUUCCGCAUCCGUCAUUAUAUCGAUCUGGAUUAAACUUCUCUGGCUCCUCCCAAAUCUCUGGAUCUCUAUGUAUAGCCCAAGCGUUAACCAUCACUAUCGUAUCUCGCGGGACGUCGUAACCUCCGAUUUUCAUGUCGUCCGUCGGUGAUCGAGGGAUUAGAAACGGCGCCACCGGAAAUAGCCGGAAUGUUUCGGAGACGACGUUUUGGAGGUAAGGAAGCACUGCGAUGUCUGAUUCGUCGAUUAGUCGAUCUUUUCCGAUCUUCUCAUCGAUCUCCGAUCUCGCCUUCUCCAGUACUUCUGGAUUUCUCAGUAGAUUCGCCAUCGCCCACUCUAAUGUCACAGCGGAGGUCUCAGUUCCGGCGAGCAUCAUCGACUUCACAAUUUCAAAAACAAUCAGGUUAAAAUCGAAUCUCACAAUUCACUUCAUUGAAAUCUCACAGAAGUUUAUAGAAUUUUACCAUCAUAAGGCCUUUGAUGAUAACGUCAGUGUAAUACUCAGGUUGUUGUUGUUGUAGAGAGAUCAAAUGAUUGACCAUUGUGUUACCUUCUUUAUCUCUUCUACAUUCAUCUAACAAACGCUGCAAAAUAUCAUCCAUUGAUUUGCCUAUAGCUUUAACUUCUUUCUCGAAUUUGUUUCCGAAUAGUUUUAGUAUUGGUAAGUAAUCAGCGGAAUGAUUAGCGCCGCUAUACAUGGCGAUAUCGUAGACUAGCUUCUUGAAUAGCUCUGCUUCUUCUUUGUUGUUGACGUCGUCGCCGUAAUAUCUCUUCCCUGUAACCAUUCUUACUAUGUUGUUGAAUGUUAGAUCAGAUAAGAGCGGUUCUAGCUCGAUGUGAGUGAAAUCGUUGCUUUCGUUGGAGGUUUGUGUGUAACGUGAGAGGCGUGUGAGCAUCCGUAAGAUCUCGUCUUUGCGGAUGUGUUGGAAGUUGAUGAGACGGUGAGAGGAGAGAAUCUCUUGGGAGCAAAUGCGGCGGAGGUUACGCCAGUGGUCGCCGUAAGGAGCUGUACCAACGGUUGUGUGGUUGUAUGCGACGUAUUUGGCGGUGAGUUGGAGCGGCCGGCUGGAGAGAACGAUGUCGUUUUGGCCGGUGAAGGAUUCUUGGGCGAGAGAAGGGGAUGUUAUGACCACGACGCGUCGGGAGCCGAAACGGAGGGAAAAGAUUGGGCCGUAUUGGUUGGAGUAGCGUUGGAGGAGACGGUGGAUCGGCGGUUUCAUGAGGUGGAGAUGGCCGACGAAGGGUCGUGACGGUGGUCCUGGAGGAAGGUUGAAACGUUGCGUUUUGGAGUAGAGAAAUUUGUAACUUAUUACAAGAAAUAGAAGAGGGAGAAGGAUGAAGUAUAACAUUUUGUCUCUCUCUUCUAGUUUCAGGAUGUUUGUGUUUUUUUCUACUUGUGCGAGGAUUUGGCUUAUGGUUUGUUUGUUCUUUUAUUUAUAGAGAAAAUUUUACUCAAAUCAAAGUAGUGAUGUCAUAUCUGUAACGUGACAAUUAGUAGUGGAACUUGAAAGUUGUGCUUUUCGUUUUAAAAGACCAGAGGAAAAAAACAAAAAACAUCUUCUACGAUUUCGAGUUCUCCAUAUUAUGAUUAUCAUUUCUCUCAAAACUCCAUUAUUAA